UUCCGGUUGAUCCCGCCGGACCCGACUGCUAUCAGAGUGGGACUAAGCCAUGCGAGUCAACAUAGCAAUAUGUGGCAUACGGCUCAGUAACACGUAGUCAACAUGCCCAGGGGACGUGGAUAACCUCGGGAAACUGAGGAUAAACCACGAUAGGUCAUCACUUCUGGAAUGGGUAAUGACUUAAAUCUAUAUGGCCCCUGGAUUGGACUGCGGCCGAUCAGGCUGUUGGUGAGGUAAUGGCCCACCAAACCUGUAACCGGUACGGGCUCUGAGAGGAGGAGCCCGGAGAUGGGCACUGAGACAAGGGCCCAGGCCCUAUGGGGCGCAGCAGGCGCGAAACCUCUGCAAUAGGCGAAAGCUUGACAGGGUUACUCUGAGUGAUUUCCGUUAAGGAGAUCUUUUGGCAUCUCUAAAAAUGGUGCAGAAUAAGGGGUGGGCAAGUCUGGUGUCAGCCGCCGCGGUAAUACCAGCACCCCGAGUGGUCGGGACGUUUAUUGGGCCUAAAGCAUCCGUAGCCGGUUCUACAAGUCUUCCGUUAAAUCCACCUGCUUAACAGAUGGGCUGCGGAAGAUACUAUAGAGCUAGGAGGCGGGAGAGGCAAGCGGUACUCGAUGGGUAGGGGUAAAAUCCGUUGAUCCAUUGAAGACCACCAGUGGCGAAGGCGGCUUGCCAGAACGCGCUCGACGGUGAGGGAUGAAAGCUGGGGGAGCAAACCGGAUUAGAUACCCGGGUAGUCCCAGCUGUAAACGAUGCAGACUCGGUGAUGAGUUGGCUUAUUGCUAACUCAGUGCCGCAGGGAAGCCGUUAAGUUUGCCGCCUGGGGAGUACGGUCGCAAGACUGAAACUUAAAGGAAUUGGCGGGGGAGCACCACAAGGGGUGAAGCCUGCGGUUCAAUUGGAUUCAACGCCGGG
RNAcentral lists this ribosomal RNA (912 nucleotides) under uncultured archaeon. RNAcentral's name for it is "bacterial SSU rRNA". It matches the Rfam family "Archaeal small subunit ribosomal RNA", at positions 1 to 922 of the family's 1478-position model. The record is from RNAcentral.